UACGUAGGGCGCAAGCGUUAUCCGGAAUUAUUGGGCGUAAAGAGCUCGUAGGCGGUUUGUCGCGUCUGCCGUGAAAGUCCGAGGCUCAACCUCGGGCCUGCAGUGGGUACGGGCAGACUAGAGUGCGGUAGGGGAGAUUGGAAUCCUGGUGUAGCGGUGGAAUGCGCAGAUAUCAGGAGGAACACCAAUGGGCGAAGGCAGAUCUCUGGGCCGUAACUGACGCUGGAGGAGCGAAAGCUGGGAGCGAACAGG
RNAcentral lists this ribosomal RNA (252 nucleotides) under uncultured bacterium. RNAcentral's name for it is "partial 16S ribosomal RNA". It matches the Rfam family "Bacterial small subunit ribosomal RNA", at positions 524 to 776 of the family's 1533-position model. The record is from RNAcentral.